RNAcentral lists this ribosomal RNA (727 nucleotides) under Shigella sonnei. RNAcentral describes it as "partial 23S ribosomal RNA". It matches the Rfam family "Bacterial large subunit ribosomal RNA", at positions 462 to 1190 of the family's 2925-position model. The record is from RNAcentral. Lineage: Bacteria; Pseudomonadati; Pseudomonadota; Gammaproteobacteria; Enterobacterales; Enterobacteriaceae.
AAGGCUAAAUACUCCUGACUGACCGAUAGUGAACCAGUACCGUGAGGGAAAGGCGAAAAGAACCCCGGCGAGGGGAGUGAAAAAGAACCUGAAACCGUGUACGUACAAGCAGUGGGAGCACGCUUAGGCGUGUGACUGCGUACCUUUUGUAUAAUGGGUCAGCGACUUAUAUUCUGUAGCAAGGUUAACCGAAUAGGGGAGCCGAAGGGAAACCGAGUCUUAACUGGGCGUUAAGUUGCAGGGUAUAGACCCGAAACCCGGUGAUCUAGCCAUGGGCAGGUUGAAGGUUGGGUAACACUAACUGGAGGACCGAACCGACUAAUGUUGAAAAAUUAGCGGAUGACUUGUGGCUGGGGGUGAAAGGCCAAUCAAACCGGGAGAUAGCUGGUUCUCCCCGAAAGCUAUUUAGGUAGCGCCUCGUGAAUUCAUCUCCGGGGGUAGAGCACUGUUUCGGCAAGGGGGUCAUCCCGACUUACCAACCCGAUGCAAACUGCGAAUACCGGAGAAUGUUAUCACGGGAGACACACGGCGGGUGCUAACGUCCGUCGUGAAGAGGGAAACAACCCAGACCGCCAGCUAAGGUCCCAAAGUCAUGGUUAAGUGGGAAACGAUGUGGGAAGGCCCAGACAGCCAGGAUGUUGGCUUAGAAGCAGCCAUCAUUUAAAGAAAGCGUAAUAGCUCACUGGUCGAGUCGGCCUGCGCGGAAGAUGUAACGGGGCUAAACCAU